Coccomyxa sp. Obi is the source of this 73-nucleotide non-coding RNA. NCBI's taxonomy places the organism in Eukaryota, Viridiplantae, Chlorophyta, Trebouxiophyceae, Coccomyxaceae. The record is from the annotation of a GenBank genome assembly.
CUCGCUGUGAUCUAGGUGGUUAUGAUAUCAGGCUUUCACCCUGGCUACCCGGGUUCGAGUCCCGGCAGCGAGG